CAAGAGCCGAUAAAGAGCUUCCAUCUGACGCGCUGUGAACGCCGCGGUCUGCUGCAGUCACGCACUCAGUAUCACUGGUUAUGUACAACAUGGAAGAAUGCAAUAUCGAGGAAUGUGAUCAGAGCCGAUCUCUUCAGCUGAUUAAUGUAGAGAGAUGAAAAUGGGAGCGAGGGAUAUCCGAACCUCUCCGAUGACGGAUUUUAUGGAGGAGCCCGCAGCCUGUGAUGGGAGCUAAAGGUUUAUACUGCUGGCUGUAGUCGCUUCCUGGUGGAUCUUUUGGUGUGAGCCUGCAUCUCCUCUGCAGACAGACGGUCUUCAGGAGUGGGCCGCUGUUUGUCCUUUGCUUUGAGGGUGACUGUGAGAGUGAGAGCAAGGCAUUCUGGGAAUCCCAGCCAGCCCU
This is a long non-coding RNA of Sinocyclocheilus anshuiensis, 400 nucleotides long. RefSeq lists it as uncharacterized. The record is from RefSeq and is a predicted model, not a curated record. NCBI's taxonomy places the organism in Eukaryota, Metazoa, Chordata, Actinopteri, Cypriniformes, Cyprinidae. The transcript is spliced from 3 exons.